GCCAGGCGUGGUGGUGCACGCCUGUAAUCCCAGCUACUUGGGAGGCUGACACAGGAGGAUCACUUGAACCCAGGAGGUGAAGGUGGCAGUGAGCUGAGAUCGUGCCACUGCACUCCAUCCUGGAUGACAGAGUGAGACUCUGUCUCAA
Molecule: unclassified non-coding RNA, 148 nt
Organism: Pongo abelii (Sumatran orangutan)
Lineage: Eukaryota; Metazoa; Chordata; Mammalia; Primates; Hominidae
Rfam family: Metazoan signal recognition particle RNA
About the family: The signal recognition particle (SRP) is a universally conserved ribonucleoprotein. It is involved in the co-translational targeting of proteins to membranes.
Source: Ensembl